RNAcentral lists this ribosomal RNA (450 nucleotides) under uncultured bacterium. RNAcentral describes it as "partial 16S ribosomal RNA". It matches the Rfam family "Bacterial small subunit ribosomal RNA", at positions 354 to 796 of the family's 1533-position model. The record is from RNAcentral.
GUGGGGAAUAUUGGACAAUGGGCGAAAGCCUGAUCCAGCCAUGCCGCGUGUGUGAAGAAGGUCUUCGGAUUGUAAAGCACUUUAAGUUGGGAGGAAGGGCAGUAAGUUAAUACCUUGCUGUUUUGACGUUACCGACAGAAUAAGCACCGGCUAACUUCGUGCCAGCAGCCGCGGUAAUACGAAGGGUGCAAGCGUUAAUCGGAAUUACUGGGCGUAAAGCGCGCGUAGGUGGUUUUGUAAGUUGGAGGUGAAAUCCCCGGGCUCAACCUGGGAACUGCCUCCAAAACUGCAUGACUAGAGUACGGUAGAGGGUAGUGGAAUUUCCUGUGUAGCAGUGAAAUGCGUAGAUAUAGGAAGGAACACCAGUGGCGAAGGCGACUACCUGGACUGAUACUGACACUGAGGUGCGAAAGCGUGGGGAGCAAACAGGAUUAGAUACCCCUGUAGUCC